UCCUUUUAUGAAGACGCCAGUCAGAAUGAAGUUGGACGCACCCUAAUGACCUCAACUUAACUAAACUUCGUCUGCAAAGACCGAUUUUCAAAUAAGGAGCCACCAUGGGAGAUCCCACCCAUGACAAAGGUCAUGCGGAGAGAACCUGACAGGCAAAGGCAGAUCAGGCCUCAAGGGACCCCCUGGAUCUGCUCGAGCAUCUACCCCAAAACCAGAAUCUGUCUGUCUUACUAUUUUGUGCCUUUCACCAACUCUCCUGACAUUAACAGGGGGUAUCCCCGAACACCUGUCUCUGGAAGACGUCAACUUAGAGCUUUAAUUAAUAAGUCUCCUGGGCAUGAAAGGAAUAUUUCUAUUUUAACCCCUCUGUUGGCAUUCUAGCUUGCCUGACAGGUUGAUCCAUACUCUUGCAAUUAACACACAUGAUUGUUCACAACUCCCCAGCCUUGAAAGGCACGGGAAGCCAAAACAUUCUAAAAGUCCUAAUGAGCAUAGAGCCCUUUAAGAGAUGAAAAAUUAUUAGAAUAGAUAGUACUGGUAAAGGGCUUCAUUAUUGGGCCAAUGCUUGCUGCCAAGUGCCCAUAUCCCUUAUCCACUGUGUACCUGGGAGUGCAUUGGUUAACAUAGUUGGAAUGUAAGAAAAACAAGUAGUAGCCUUGGAAUUAACCACAUCAGACCUUUGAGCUAAUUGGUUCUUUCUUUGUUGUAACUCACUGCACCUUUGCUCCCUAAGAAUGUAACUCUGUUUAGUACUUUCUGAGGCUGGGAGAAAUAAAGAAGAAACACUUUAAGGGAAAACAAGUUUUCUGGCUGAUCAGCCUUUAUCAAAAAAGGGUCAUAAAAUGUCCACAGGCCUCCAAGGCCAGAAGAUAUUGUACACAACAUUGUUUACGGGAAAGGUAUGCAGAAAAAAUCCUGGUUUCGAUAAAGACAAAACAGAUGUAAUGUUUGGGCUGACUCUGUAUGACUUUGCAUCUUUCAUUUCCCUCUAUGUACAAGUCAAGGUAUGAAAGUUCCUUUUGAAAAUAAAGUUAUGGGCCUCACUCACUGAA
Long non-coding RNA from Bos taurus (domestic cattle), 1052 nucleotides. The record is from Ensembl. Lineage: Eukaryota; Metazoa; Chordata; Mammalia; Artiodactyla; Bovidae.